This 222-nucleotide unclassified non-coding RNA is filed under the name Hevea brasiliensis (rubber tree). Lineage: Eukaryota; Viridiplantae; Streptophyta; Magnoliopsida; Malpighiales; Euphorbiaceae. The record is from RNAcentral.
UAGGGAGAGUUCUGCAAUAAGUAUUGGGACUACUGGGCAGCCAAUGGUACCAGGAAUUGGAGGGUCGAAUGCGACUGAAGUCAACAAGCCUGUCAUUAACUCUUGCUCAGAUGCUUUUCGAGCGAAUAUGAAACCCGUGUAUUGGAAGACAAAGUUGUGCACCAAGUGGGAAACUACAGGUCAAUGCCCAUUUGGCGAGAAAUGUCACUUUGCUCAUGGACA